This 2362-nucleotide long non-coding RNA is filed under the name Pogona vitticeps (central bearded dragon). Its description in RNAcentral is "lncRNA (ENSPVIG00000021708.1)". The record is from RNAcentral. Lineage: Eukaryota; Metazoa; Chordata; Lepidosauria; Squamata; Agamidae.
GAAAAUGCAUUUUUUUGCACACACACAAAAGUUCACGGGACAGAAAUGGUGGGGAAGACAUGCAACUCGGGAGCCUCUGUACUCACCCUUCACAUAAGUUCUUCCUCUACUACUACAGUUGUAUCCUUGCUUUGGGUCAUAUCUUUUGAUCAUCCUUUCCAACACACUGCUAUCAAAACCACAGCCUGAUGACCUCAAAGGAUUUAUCUGCUUUAUACCUCCAUGGGUCUCCCGCCUCCCAAUGUGUGAUUUUCCACGCAACAGUCAUUUCGCUUCCAACUGAACUCUGGCUUCCAUUUCUCCCUUCCUCCUCCUCCUCUGUGUUUUGAGUGGGGUAGGGAAAGCUUUUGCAAGGCAAUGAAUUAGGGCUGGUUUUUGAAGUGCCCAGCUGCAGUUCUGAGCUGGCGGAGGCGCAAGAAGCCUGAGCUGAAAAGAGGCAGCAGCCGUUUUCAAGCGUGCUUUGCAUUUGGCUGCUCUCGGGUUCUUCUGAGACAAGACGUCACGAGCGAGAGCCAACAGUGACCUUCUGUACUCAAGAGAGUGCCAGCCGAAUGACUGGAAUUCUUAGUUUUUCAGCUUCGAGCGACAGCUCUCCCAAGGAAAUACGUCUCCUAAGGAGAAGUGGGCUUCCGAGGCUUGUUUGUGGCUCAGGUUGAUCUGGGAAGGCAGUGCACACUGAGUGCAAAUGCUAUGCAGAUCUAGUAUUUCGCAUCCUGGAAAUUGGCUGUAUGUGUGUGCGUGAGAGAGAGACAGAGAGAGAGAUUAUUUGAGCAAUUCUUGCUGGAUCUGCAGAUGCUGCAAGACGAGCAAACGGUGCCCUCAAAAGCUACAUGGGGCUCAGCAGAUCAGCAUGUUUUGCAUGCAAAAGGUCCCAGGAGCCUCCCCCCACCCUCUGUGAGAUUAUAUAAUAAAAGCGACGGAUUGAUUUUGGGAGACAAGGAAGCUCUUCAUAUCAUUCGACAGCGAUGACUCACAAGCUGGAGCUAAACCUUACAUCUCUUCCACUUCCAGCUAAGUUAAAUGUGAGAUUUCAGUUGAUUUUUUUUUAAAAAAAACAUUAGCUGGUUUACUUUAUUGGGAGGUUUCUUGGUAUAUUUGGUUUCCUGGGGGAAGAACAUUCAAAGAUGACUGUUGCAGUGGAAAUUGAUCAGUGCAUGUAGCUUCAGUAGCUUAAGACAACCUCUCUUGAAGUGAGUAAAUUGCCACGAUCUUUCCUAUGAAACUCCCGCCAACCUAGCGGUUCGAAAGCAUGCAAAUGCGAGUAGAUAAAUAGGUACCAUCUCGGUGGGAAGGUAAAUAGCGUUCCGUGUCUAAAUCACACUGGCCAUGUGACCACGGAAAGAUUGUCUUCGGACAAAACGCUGGCUCUAUGGCUUGAAGAGCGGGAUGAGCGCCGCCCCCUAGAGUCGGACACGACUGGACAAAAAUUGUCAAGGGGAACCUUUACCUUUACCUUUACCUUCCUAUGAAACAUUUACAACCUCUCUUGAAGUGAGUAAAUUGCCAUGAUCUUUCCUAUGAAACAUUUAAGAGCUGGUCAGGAUACACCAGUAGCUCUUGCGCUAGUGAAUUAUGCUUCUGAAAUACUCUCUCAGACACUGUAUUGAGUCAAUUUCAUGGUUGUCAAGGUGACUAGGAGUUCUUAAGUGAUAGGAAUCUAUGUAGACAACUCAACGUGUUGGUGGACAAAUGAUGGAUUGCUCUCUUUUUGCUCUUUCUGUCUUACUCUUUUCUGUUGUUUGCUUUAAUCAUCUCUGAUCUAAAUGCUAGGAAGCAGCUCUUGGGUGCUGGGAUGUGCGUGGGCAAAAAAGGCCAAUGAAUUUAAAUCUGUAACUCAACUUCGGCUGAAGUUGUAAGUCAAGGUCUGCUUAAGUCAUCAGCUGACGAUAUCUCCUUAAUUCUAAAGCGCCAGGAUUAAACUCAAAACAAAAUACUUCCAGUAAGUUGUGAGGUAUUGUUUGACCCACAUGCAAAUUCCGGAGUCUUGAGAGUGAGGGUUAGUUUUGUGGUUAGGUUUUCACAUAGACUUCAUUUGUUUCCUGCCGCAAUGGGAAUUCCAGUGUUGCUCCAAUGGCCUUAACCACAGUAAGUCACUCGUGUGUUUUUGUACCAUGGUUUGCCAAAACAGUGUGGGACAUUUUGGGGUCCCAAUAGCUUGGCAAAAAGGAGUACAUUUAUUGGGUUAUAUAUACAAAAACACACGAGUGACGUCUAUAUAAAAUGUCUGCACAGUGUUUGUGUCAAAAAAAAUACCCUAUACAUGACUGAAGCUUGGGGACAAUUCUUAUACCUGCCAAGAUGGACAGUGCUGUGAAAAGUCUUGGUUUUGGCGUAUUCUACAAUAAACCUUACCUUGCCGACA